CCUGGUGGCGAGUGGCGAACGGGUGAGUAAUAUAUCGGAACGUGCCCAGUCGUGGGGGAUAACGCAGCGAAAGCUGUGCUAAUACCGCAUACGAUCUCUGGAUGAAAGCGGGGGACUCGCAAGGGCCUCGCGCGAUUGGAGCGGCCGAUAUCAGAUUAGCUAGUUGGUGGGGUAAAAGCCCACCAAGGCGACGAUCUGUAGCUGGUCUGAGAGGACGACCAGCCACACUGGAACUGAGACACGGUCCAGACUCCUACGGGAGGCAGCAGUGGGGAAUUUUGGACAAUGGGCGCAAGCCUGAUCCAGCAAUGCCGCGUGCAGGAUGAAGGCCUUCGGGUUGUAAACUGCUUUUGUACGGAACGAAACGGUCCUUUCUAAUAAAAGGGGCUAAUGACGGUACCGUAAGAAUAAGCACCGGCUAACUACGUGCCAGCAGCCGCGGUAAUACGUAGGGUGCGAGCGUUAAUCGGAAUUACUGGGCGUAAAGCGUGCGCAGGCGGUUAUAUAAGACAGAUGUGAAAUCCCCGGGCUCAACCUGGGCACUGCAUUUGUGACUGUAUAGCUAGAGUACGGUACAGGGGGAUGGAAUUCCGCGUGUAGCAGUGAAAUGCGUAUAUAUGCGGAGGAACACCGAUGGCGAAGACAAUCCCCUGGACCUGUACUGACGCUCAUGCACGAAAGCGUGGGGAGCAAACAGGAUUAGAUACCCUGGUAGUCCACGCCCUAAACGAUGUCAACUGGUUGUUGGGUCUUCA
This 755-nucleotide ribosomal RNA is filed under the name uncultured bacterium. RNAcentral's name for it is "bacterial SSU rRNA". It matches the Rfam family "Bacterial small subunit ribosomal RNA", at positions 84 to 833 of the family's 1533-position model. The record is from RNAcentral.